CCCUUAGAUGUUCUGGGCUGCACGCGCGCUACACUGAUGCGCUCAACGAGUUUUAACCUUGCCUGGAAAGGUUGGGUAAUCUUUUUAAAACGCAUCGUGAUGGGGAUAGAUUAUUGCAAUUAUUAAUCUUCAACGAGGAAUUCCUAGUAAGCGCGAGUCAUCAGCUCGUGCUGAUUACGUCCCUGCCCUUUGUACACACCGCCCGUCGCACCUACCGAUUGAAUGACUCGGUGAAAAAUUGGGACUGUGAUUGAAAUUGCUUCAUUGCGAAUUUAAUUAUGGAAACUUUCUUUAACCUAGGCAUUUAGAGGAAGGUGAAGUCGUAACA
This 328-nucleotide ribosomal RNA is filed under the name uncultured eukaryote. Its description in RNAcentral is "partial 18S ribosomal RNA". It matches the Rfam family "Eukaryotic small subunit ribosomal RNA", at positions 1470 to 1796 of the family's 1831-position model. The record is from RNAcentral.